Molecule: ribosomal RNA, 422 nt
Filed under: uncultured bacterium
Lineage: Bacteria
Description: bacterial SSU rRNA
Rfam family: Bacterial small subunit ribosomal RNA
Source: RNAcentral
AUUUUUCUCAAUGGGCGAAAGCCUGAAGGAGCGACGCCGCGUGGGGGAUGAAGGGUUUCGAUCCGUAAACCCCUGUCAUUUGUGAACAAUGGUUAUCCGUGAACAACGGGUGACUUGAUAGUAAUGAAAGAGGAAGGGACGGCUAACUCUGUGCCAGCAGCCGCGGUAAUACAGAGGUCCCGAGCGUUGUUCGGAUUCACUGGGCGUAAAGGGUGCGUAGGUGGCAUGGUAAGUUUGAUGUGAAAGCUCAGGGCUCAACCCUGAAAUGGCAUUGAAUACUACUGUGCUGGAGGUUUGGAGGGGGGACUGGAAUUCUUGGUGUAGCAGUGAAAUGCGUAGAUAUCAAGAGGAACACCAGUGGCGAAGGCGAGUCCCUGGACAACACCUGACACUGAGGCACGAAAGCCGGGGGAGCAAACAGG